AAAAAAUUGAAUAUAAAAAAUAAAAUAAAGUAAAAAAAAAAAAAUAAACGAAAAGCAUAGAAAAGCGUAAAGUGAUACUUCUUAUUUUCUUUUUGUUGUUAGUGCUGAUUUGUUGUUGUUUUAACUUUUCUUUUGAAAAGUUAGUGCACUUGUGCUAUAUUGGAUUUCAAUACAGUUUCAAUUUCAUUGACCGAAUUUAGUUUAGUUUUUAUUUACCACACAGAAAUUGUUCACGUAACAUGUGCAUUAAAAAACCAACAAAUUUAUUUUGAUAAAAACUAAAAUCUACUUAUUUGCCAAACGUGUUACUCUGCAAAAAAAAAAAAUUUAAAUAAAAAAAUAAAAAAAAAUUAAAUUAGAUAAAUAAAAAAAAUUAUUGUGUGCAGCAUCUCGAAAACAACUGUAAACCUACGGUCUAACAACUACACAAGUAACUGUUUAAAAUCGUUUAACGCCCACCACUUAUACAGCUGUAAAGCCAAAAGUGUUAAAAAUUUUUUUUUAGUGAAAAAUAUUCAAUUAAAGAAGUUCCAUUAAAUGUUUUGCUAAUAAAGUAGUUAAAAAUUAGUAGUUAAAGAAUUAAGUAAAAGCAUUUAGGAAAAUUUCCAAAAAAAUUAGUUCCAUACAAAAGUACAACAAUUAAUUACCAACCACGGCUACAACAAUAAGUAAAAACAGAAGCAACCUUCGCUUGGUUACUCCAGCAUAACAGCUACUAAAUAGUACAAAAAAACAAAAAAAACCACUACCACACAAUAACUACACCAACAGCAACACUUCAAUAUUCCCAGCGAUUCAAAUCUAAUAGUCAUGCGACUUGAUCCGAUAUCAAAUGAAGAUUUUAGAUCUUUAAGCUCAAGAUUUUCUAGUAUAGCAUUAGAAUCUCUACCGUCCUGGGGAGGAUCUGAGAAAACAGACACAAGACUGCCAAUUACCGACUACUCAACACUUGGUGGCCCACGUCACAAUCGUAGUCCAUUCCCUCUUGCAAAAGACAUAAACAAUCGAUUCGUG
Teleopsis dalmanni is the source of this 1014-nucleotide long non-coding RNA. RefSeq lists it as uncharacterized. The transcript is spliced from 3 exons. The record is from RefSeq and is a predicted model, not a curated record. Lineage: Eukaryota; Metazoa; Arthropoda; Insecta; Diptera; Diopsidae.